This 208-nucleotide long non-coding RNA is filed under the name Elaeis guineensis (African oil palm). RNAcentral describes it as "long non-coding RNA (EGUI_LNC000141)". The record is from RNAcentral. Lineage: Eukaryota; Viridiplantae; Streptophyta; Magnoliopsida; Arecales; Arecaceae.
GCGCUAUGCUACAGGGGCUUAUUCUAUAUAAGUUAAAAAAAUUCUAUGACUAAAAAAUAAAAUGGGAUCCUAAGAUCAAUCUUUAGCGAUUCCUUGUAAAGACCUACCCGACCCUGAUGAGAAAGAGCUAUUCGCUCCCUGGGAAUGGCGACCUCCAAUUUAUACUCAACCGGCACUUGGUAAUUUCCAUCUAAUAACCUCUAAGUCC